AUUGAACGCUGGCGGAAUGCUUUACACAUGCAAGUCGAACGGCAGCACGGACUUCGGUCUGGUGGCGAGUGGCGAACGGGUGAGUAAUGUAUCGGAACGUGCCCAGUCGUGGGGGAUAACGUAGUGAAAAUUACGCUAAUACCGCAUACGAUCUAUGAAUGAAAGCGGGGGAUCGCAAGACCUCGCGCGAUUGGAGCGGCCGAUAUCAGAUUAGGUAGUUGGUGGGGUAAAGGCCCACCAAGCCAACGAUCUGUAGCUGGUCUGAGAGGACGACCAGCCACACUGGAACUGAGACGCGGUCCAGACUCCUACGGGAGGCAGCAGUGGGGAAUUUUGGACAAUGGGCGAAAGCCUGAUCCAGCCAUUCCGCGUGCAGGAUGAAGGCCCUCGGGUUGUAAGCUGCUUUUGUACAGAACGAAAAGGUUUCUACUAAUACUAGGAGCUCAUGACGGUACUGUAAGAAUAAGCACCGGCUAACUACGUGCCAGCCGCCGCAGUAA
This 500-nucleotide ribosomal RNA is filed under the name uncultured bacterium. RNAcentral's name for it is "partial 16S ribosomal RNA". It matches the Rfam family "Bacterial small subunit ribosomal RNA", at positions 30 to 523 of the family's 1533-position model. The record is from RNAcentral.